Long non-coding RNA from Alosa sapidissima (American shad), 174 nucleotides. RefSeq lists it as uncharacterized. NCBI's taxonomy places the organism in Eukaryota, Metazoa, Chordata, Actinopteri, Clupeiformes, Clupeidae. The transcript has 2 exons. The record is from RefSeq and is a predicted model, not a curated record.
GCGCCUUCAGGAGGAUGACUAUGUUGUAGGGGGUCCAGCAGAUGAAGAAGGUGAGCACGAUGACAAAGAUCAGCUUCACCGCUCUGCACUUCUCUCUCAUGCGCGUGGAGAGGACCCUCAUAGUGAUACGCAUGUAGCAGUACAGCACAAUUGCUACAGGGAUCAGGAAGAAGA